Columba livia (rock pigeon) is the source of this 3361-nucleotide long non-coding RNA. RefSeq lists it as uncharacterized. The record is from RefSeq and is a predicted model, not a curated record. Lineage: Eukaryota; Metazoa; Chordata; Aves; Columbiformes; Columbidae. The transcript has 2 exons.
CUGGGGUGGCUUCCUGCUGUGCCACGUCCCCACGGCAUCUGUGUCCUCGUGGCAUCGGUCUGUGUCUUGGUACCCAGGCAGGGAUGCUGCCCCGGACCUGGGAUCUCUCUCCUCCCAAGUGCCGCCAUCUGCCUUGUCUGGCUUGAUCCCUGCAUGGGGGUGGCCCCAGGAGAACGUGGCCCAUGGGGAGAUGGGGGUCACAGUGUCCCCCGUGCCUUGGUGAUAUCUCUCUUGCUGGCCCUGGUCCCUGCCAGGGGCUGCCUUUGGAAGUGCUGUGGUGGGAGGUGGUUGGGGACAAGAGGGAAUGCGUCCCCAGAGCAGCAACAGCGUGGGAGAGAGAAAGAGGGACAGUCAGUACCUCUCGGAUGCUCAUCCGAACGCCAAGGAUGCUCAGGAGCGAUGGGGGAAACUAAGGCACGGCUGAACAGGCUCCAGAUGCACUUCUUGUGUUGGGACUGUCACAAGAACCCCCAAAAUUUCAGAACCGGAUUCCUGCAGCUCCAACCCCUUCAUUAAAAUCCCCCUGGCAUCCCGCAGCCACCCCGGCCACGUGCUCAGCCCCAGCCGUUGCCUCAUGCAGCUCAACACUGCCGGCAAUUUUUGGGCAGACGGCGGCUCAAACCUGCCCCCGCGCUAACCCUUCCCUCUGCAGGGGGACCCCACGCCAGGGCUCCCCAAAACCCAUCGCCCUUCCCUGGCCACCUCCCGGCAGCGCUGCCUGUGCAGCCACCAGCUGGGGUCCCCUUUAAGCUAUUUUUUAGUUGGGAGAAAUUUCCUUCUCUGGCAGCGGGAAAACCACGGUGGCCACGCUCGGAGCUGGGGAAUUUCGGGGCUGAGCAAACCCCUGUCGCUGCUCCGGGCAGGAUUUGUCCUCCCGGGGUGUCACGGCUCGGGGGUGGAUUUUUCCUGUGCUGAUAAAACUUCAUCCUCCGCCAGAGCUCGGAGUGGUGUUGGGGCACAUGGACACGCAUCCCACGGGGAGUCUCCGGUGUCUGAUACUGUGGUUGGGCUCACAGCACAGCCAUGGGGGUGCUUGAUUAUAAUAAAGGACUUUUGGGGAGGAUGAAACCCAAAAUGGUAAAGUAGCCUAAUUGAAAAUCUCCUCCUUUCUUUAGCAGAUCCAUUUGCUCCUCAAUAUUAAUGAAGUCACCCUCCCAAUUAAUUCUCUGUUUGCCCACUGGAGGCCCCGGGGUGGAAACUCAUUAAUUUUUCACCAUCCAAACUCCAUCAGGAAUAAUAUGACAAAUUUCUGGGGUUUUCCCCACAAAAUCCUCCCUGGAGAUGUUGCACUGGGCAGCAGCGGGGACCUGCCGGAGCAUCGUCCCCGUGGAUGGGGGCAGCCGGUCCAUCCGCCCCCGCUGCCGCAUCCCUCGGGAUGGAGGGCGUGAGCACGCGGCGGCACGGGGGGAAAAUGAGAAUUAAACAGCAGCUUAAUUGCAUUUGAAGUCGUGAUUGGGUUUUUUAUCCGUUAGAGAUCAUCAGCAGAGCCAUCUCAGCAUUUCUCCUGAGCCCGGCUGGAGAGCCCCAUCCUGCUUGGCUGCACCACCCUCUUCCUCAUGGGAUGAAGGCUGGGACCCACGGCCCUCCUCCCAGUACCUCCCAGUACCUCCCAGUACCUCUGUGCCAUCUCCCACCACUCUGCUCCAUGGCCCUUUUUCUUCAAUUUCCUCACUUAUUUUGAGGAAGAUUUGCAGGGGCGGCUGGUGGAAUUAACAGACGUAAAGCCACAUGCCCCCACGCCCCCAUGGAGACCUUGUGCUGGAUCCUCUCCUGCCCAGAGCGUGUCCCGCCAGCUCCUUCUGUCAGCGUGGCUGCAAGUCUGGGCUCAGACACGUCACCUAGUUGAAAUUCACAGUUGUCCUUGUGGAGGAGAGAGGGAACCCGGCAGGGAUGGGGAUGGAUGAGGAUGGGGAUGGAGCAUUGGAUGAGAACAAGGACUAGGAUGGGGAUGGGAAUGGGAUGAGGAUGUGGAUAGGAUGGGGAUGAGCAUGAGGAUGAGAACUGGGAUUGGGAUUGGCAUGGGGAUGGGGUUGCGGGUGGGAUGAGAUGGGUGGGAUGGGAUGAGAUGAUGAGAUGAGAUUAUGAGAUGAAUGGGAUGGGAUGGGAUGGAAUGAGAUGGGAUGUUGAGAUGUGAUGAUGAGAUUGAGAUGGAUGGGAUGGAUGCGAUGAGGAGGAGCAUGAAGAUAGCAACGGGAUGGGGAUCCCUCAUAGGGGUGGAGAUGGGAAGGGAUGGAGAAAGGAUGGGAUGGGGUUGGAGAUGGGAUGGGGUUGGAGAUGGGAUGGGGAUGACAUGGGGAUGGGAUGGGGAUCCCUCACAGGGACAGGGAAAACUGGCUGAGAUGGGGAUGGGAUGGUGCAAACCUGAGCUGGGUGCCCUCAAAUCCACCAGAACAACCCCACGGACAACUCACCCCAGGGCAGCGGGAGGAUUCUGGGAUCCCACAUUGCUCACGCUGAGCACAGGGAGGGGGACGUGAGAGGCCCAGGGUGGCUGCUGUGUCAUUUUAAAGUCACCUGCUGGCACUGGGCCCUGGGAGGCGACGGAGGCAUCAAUCUCCCGGGGCCAUUGCUGUCAGCUGGGUAUUUAGUGCAAUGUUUCUUAAAUGAACGCUUGAUGGAAGAAGAGGGAUGGCUGCAGCGUACCGAGCCACAAGGUUAUCCCGGCGGCCGCGCCGGCUGCCAGUCCCAGCACCUGCUGUCAAACCCGGGCAGGCGGCCGUGAUAACCCCCCGGGAGGUUUCGGGAGCCGCUGCUGGCUUGACUGUGGCCAUUCCCACACCAGGGUGGAUUUCAGAGCAAAUCACACUCCUCAUGGGGGAAACACCGGGCAAAGCUCCCGGCUGCUGGUGCAGGUGGGGAGAGAAAGGAGAAUGGGAAAGGUUUUGAGAGCUCCAUUGAAUUUGGGUUCACAAGGGGGAAAAUAGUCCAUCUGUGGGGGGAGGCGAGACUUCUGCUUCAGAGAAAUUCUGUAUGAAAAUCGGGAAAGAUGGAAAUGAGCGUGUUCUCAGCAUCCCUCCGAGGGGAUGCAGCCGGAAUGCUGAAAGCAGUGGUGAUUCCACUUGCUCCUGCCGGGGAGGAGACAACACCCAGAGACCUCAGUCAAGGACCUUCUUACACUCAUUAACAGCGUGAAAAAGAGGUGGGUGGGAAGCACAGCCUGCCUGGAAGAGUGUGGGAGCACAGGGUGGGAUCCGGCUUUUCCAAAGGGGCACAAGAGGGGAGCAAAUGUGGUGGCUCUGUCAAAGCCUUGGCCCCAGAGGCACCAGGCAAGGCUGGAGCCAUCCCUGACCGCACCAACCUGAUCUGCAGCCCAUCCCCUCAGCGACUGCAGCAUGAAGAGCAAUAAAUGCAACCAAAUCCA